AUUGAACGCUGGCGGCAGGCCUAACACAUGCAAGUCGAGCGGAUGAAGGGAGCUUGCUCCUGGAUUCAGCGGCGGACGGGUGAGUAAUGCCUAGGAAUCUGCCUGGUAGUGGGGGAUAACGUCCGGAAAAGGGCGCUAAUACCGCAUACGUCCUGAGGGAGAAAGAGGGGGGUCUUCGGACCUCACGCUAUCAGAUGAGCCUAGGUCGGAUUAGGUAGUUGGUGGGGUAAAGGGCUACCAAGGGGACGAUCCGUAACUGGUCUGAGAGGAUGGUUAGUCACACUGGAACUGAGACACGGACCAGACUCCUACGGGAGGCCGCAGUGGGGAAUAUUGGACAAUGGGCGAAAGCCUGAUCCAGCCAUGCCGCGUGUGUGAAGUAGGUCUUCGGAUUGUAAAGCACUUUAAGUUGGGAGGAAGGGCAGUAAGUUAAUACCUUGCUGUUUUGACGUUACCAACAGAAUAAGCACCGGCUAACUUCGUG
This 484-nucleotide ribosomal RNA is filed under the name uncultured bacterium. RNAcentral describes it as "partial 16S ribosomal RNA". It matches the Rfam family "Bacterial small subunit ribosomal RNA", at positions 30 to 507 of the family's 1533-position model. The record is from RNAcentral.